CUUUGUUCAUGCUAAUAAAAAUCUAGCUACUUUUGAAAUUACAGGAGGUAAAAUGCAGAACAUUUGUUAACCAAGUCACUUAUUUCGGACUAAAAAAAAGGCUGCGAGAACCGGUGACUUAGAGCUUUUUCGUCGCGACUUGGAGCUUUCUCAAACUGUUAUUGGGAAGUUUUUGGAUAGUUUUUAGAUAAGUUAGUUAAUUUAGGAAGUUGAGUUGAACUAGGAUGUUGAGUUGAACUUAUGACAAUCUAAUGAGAUUGUUUAUAUUAUUUUUGCAAAUGAUAUGAAAUAUUCAUAUAUGUAUUGUUUUGGAAA
Molecule: long non-coding RNA, 315 nt
Organism: Cucumis sativus (cucumber)
Lineage: Eukaryota; Viridiplantae; Streptophyta; Magnoliopsida; Cucurbitales; Cucurbitaceae
Exons: 2
Source: RefSeq, a predicted model, not a curated record